Molecule: ribosomal RNA, 305 nt
Filed under: uncultured bacterium
Lineage: Bacteria
Description: bacterial SSU rRNA
Rfam family: Bacterial small subunit ribosomal RNA
Source: RNAcentral
GACGAACGCUGGCGGCGUGCUUAACACAUGCAAGUCGAACGGUAAGGCCCUUCGGGUACGACGAGUGGCGAACGGGUGGAGUAACACGUGGGUGAUCUGCCCUGCACUUCGGGAUAAGCCUGGGAAACUGGGUCUAAUACCGGAUAGGACCAUGGACUUCACGGUUUGUGGUGGAAAGCUUUUGCGGUGUGGGAUGGGCCCGCGGCCUAUCAGCUUGUUGGUGGGGUAAAUGGCCUACCAAGGCGACGACGGGUAGCCGGCCUGAGAGGGUGUCCGGCCACACUGGGACUGAGAUACGGCCCAGA